UGUCAUGCUGGCUGCGGCAGUGGGGGCAUUACCCAAGAAGUCAUUUGUAUUAGGAGUGUCUGUUUACAUAUUGUAGCUCUUUAAUGUUGGGAUUUUUAAGGCAAAUUUGUACAUUUAGUGACUUGGAAAAGAAAAUGCUUAAGUUAUUGCUUUUUUCAAUUGGUGUUAAACAUUUUGUAAUUUGACAGAAUUUUGUGGUUUGUUCUAGAUCAUGAGCCUGGGAGUAUUUAAUUCAGAAUGCAUUGGAAUGUCUGUGUAUCAGCUUGUACACUGUGAUGUAAGAUGGAUUGAGAG
RNAcentral lists this unclassified non-coding RNA (294 nucleotides) under Hevea brasiliensis (rubber tree). The record is from RNAcentral. Lineage: Eukaryota; Viridiplantae; Streptophyta; Magnoliopsida; Malpighiales; Euphorbiaceae.